UUUGAUCUCUAUAAAAGGUAACGCCUGCCCAGUGACUGCUCGUUAAACGGCCGCGGUACUCUGACCGUGCAAAGGUAGCGUAAUCACUUGUCUUUUAAAUAAAGACUAGUAUGAAUGGCAUCACGAGAACUAAUCUGUCUCCCUCCCCCAAUCAGUGAAACUGAUCUCCCCGUGCAGAAGCGGGGAUAAUAUCAUAAGACGAGAAGACCCUGUGGAGCUUCAAAUCAAAAAUCAACUGCUAUACUUCACCCAGAAAGGACACACCGCUAUGGAUUUGAUCUAGAUUUUUAGCUGGGGCGGCUGUGGAGAAAAAAGCAUCCUCCACGAAGACCUAUUCCAAGGGCUACUGCCCUAAGUAAUAAUAAAUUAGUUUAAUUGACCCAAUUUUUGAUCAACGAACCA
Molecule: ribosomal RNA, 402 nt
Filed under: Leptobrachella eos (rainy toad)
Lineage: Eukaryota; Metazoa; Chordata; Amphibia; Anura; Megophryidae
Description: Leptolalax eos (rainy toad) partial 16S ribosomal RNA
Rfam family: Bacterial large subunit ribosomal RNA
Source: RNAcentral